UCUCCAUUUCUCUCUCCCCCCCCCCCCCCCCCCCCUCCUCUCUUCAUUUCAUUUUCAAUUAUUUCAGAUGAUUUUCUCUCAUCAUCUCUCUCUCCAUUUUCGUUCUUCUCCCUCUCUCUCAAGGAGAGAACCCCCAUUGAAGGUGCACAUACAAAAGUUGUAGAAAACUAAGAAGUGUCUAAGGGCCAGAGAAGAUGACGAAAUUAGAAGAGCACACCAUCUCCAAGGCUUGAGCAUAAAAAGGUCAAAUUUGGGAUUUAUGGUUAGAUUAAUGUAUUAUGUGUAAAAUCUGAGUUUCAAGUGAGUUUAAUAAUCUUAGUUGGUUGUUUUAAUCUGUACUUGAUGGAUUAUAGUGGAUAUAUGUUGCAUGCUUGUGGUAUAGAGCCCUUUAGGACUAGGGAUCCGAAGUUCGAAAGGCUUACGGUAAAGUAAGUUUCUGGCAGUUUUAAGAUUGAUUUCUGAUGGAUCAAGCAGAACCUAAACUACAGAUUUCACGGAAUUUAUUUUAACCGAUGUGUUAUUUAGGAAGUGUAGAUAAUUUUUGGCCCUGGAAACGUUCAAAAAGGGUAAGUUUUCAUUGAAUUAUGACCCUUACAAGUCUACGGGGUAAACCUGUUUUUGAAACUGGCAGAUUAAACGUACGAAUUUUAAAAAAUUAUUUUACCAGUAAAACCUUAUUAUAUUGAUUUGAAAUUUUUAAGGAGUGUUAAUAAGAUAGUAAAAUUAAUAUCUGGAAUUUUUCAUGAUAAAAUUAUUUGUAUAUUGAUAAUUAUGAUUUUUAGAAUAUAGGUGUAAAACCUGACUUUUCUGGCAGUUCUUAACCAUGUCCCCAACAAGUUUAACAUUCUUAAACUACCAUAUUUUGUGUAUUUUAUUUCACCAAAUUAUUACAUAGGAUCUGUAAAUAUUCAUAAUUGUUUGAAUUAUUCAAAUAUAUUUAGAAAUAUACAAGUUAUGACUGUUUGAAAAUUUGUGUGAAAAUCUGGUUGUUCAUUGGCAGAUUCGAGCAACGUUUUUAGAAAAAAUAUUUCUAUGGGUAAAACUUAUUAUUUUAACAUGAAAUUUAACAGAGAUAUUUUUGUGACACAAAAUCUAAAUUCUGGAAAGUUUUAUCUAAAUCCAACUUGUACAAUGGAGGUUAUGAAUUUUUUUAUAUAGGAAAUAAAACUAAAAUUUUGGACAGUGGGAUUUAAACUAUGAAUGUGUGAUUUUUUGACACAAAAUAUUUCAUAAAUUAGUUGGCAACCCAUUAUAUAUAUAGAUCUAAAAUGAACUAUUUUAUUGUGGUUAGACUUUCAAACUUUGAAUUGGGUCUAUCAUGAAAGGUGUUGGAUUAAAGGAAGAGAGUAUGGGUCCAAAGUCAUAUAUAUUAAAUAAAAGUCAUGUAAUGAAAUUUUUGCUAAAUAAUAAGGGAAUUAUUUAUUCUUAUUAUGGUUAUAAAUAGACAUAUUUUCACUACUUUUUGGAAAUAUGAAAGUAAAUGGUAUUUAGCCUCGUUUUAUGAGGAUUACCUUAUGGAAAUAAUAAUUUCAAGGUUAUUCUUACAAAAGCCAUAUUUUACGAUAAGCCAGUUAUAGUUUUCAUUUAUUUUCACAAUUAAUGAUAAACUUAUUGAAUAAAGAUUUGAAAGAAGUACUCUUAUUUCUUUAAAUGAGAUUGUUAAUUAUGUCCCAACCAUUCUAUCGGACUAGCAUAGUUUUUUUCUUUUUUUUUUUUUUAUCAAGAA
Humulus lupulus (European hop) is the source of this 1726-nucleotide long non-coding RNA. RefSeq lists it as uncharacterized. The record is from RefSeq and is a predicted model, not a curated record. Lineage: Eukaryota; Viridiplantae; Streptophyta; Magnoliopsida; Rosales; Cannabaceae. The transcript has 3 exons.